GCACCAUGGAAAUUAAAAUUCAUCAUCUUUCUCUUGUUUUUUUUUAAACACCCAAAGCUUCACAUCCUUAAAAGGAUGAUUCUCAGGCACACGAGUUUUUAUUUGAGACACGGCAUGGUCAAGAAACAAAAAGAUAGGGAAGGGGAGGAGACAGGCGUCCAGGGCGCCUGGGGAACCGGCACGGCGGAGCAGCGGCGGCGGGGCUGGGGGGAGGCCGCUGAGGCGGCCGCGGCCGAGGAGGGGCAGGCCGAGGCCGAGGGUGCCGCGGCCUCGGGGUCAGGCUCCCAGGCAGGAGGCGCGGGUGGCGGCCGCGGGGGCUGGCGGCGGCAGCCCCAGUGCUGCCCCUGUGCGGCGCCCCUUCCCCGCUCCGCCGCGCACUGUUGUCAUGGAGGAACCAAGAUGGCGGCUCUGGCCUACAACCUGGGCAAGCGGGAGAUCAACCACUACUUCAGCGUGAGGAGCGCCAAGGUGCUGGCGCUGGUGGCUGUGCUGCUGCUCGCGGCAUGCCACCUCGCCUCCCGCCGCUACCGAGGCAGUGAUUCAUGUGAAUACCUUCUCUCAAGUGGCAGAUUUCUUGGAGAAAAAGUUUGGCAACCCCACAGUUGUAUGAUGCAUAAAUAUAAAAUCAGUGAAGCGAAGAAUUGCCUUGUAGAUAAACAUAUUGCAUUUAUUGGAGAUUCCAGAAUUCGUCAAUUGUUUUAUUCUUUUGUAAAAAUAAUUAACCCUCAGUUCAAAAACGAAGGAAAUAAGCAUGAAAACAUUCCUUUUGAAGACAAGAUUGCAUCAGUUAAAGUGGAUUUUCUGUGGCAUCCAGAAGUCAAUGGUUCUAUGAAACAGUGUAUCAAAGUGUGGACUGAGGAUUCUGUUGCAAAGCCCCAUGUGAUUGUAGCAGGAGCUGCCACAUGGUCCAUCAAGAUUCACAAUGGUAGCAAUGAAGCACUUUCUCAAUAUAAAAUGAACAUUACCUCCAUAGCACCGCUUUUAGAAAAAUUGGCAAAGACUAGUGAUGUUUAUUGGGUCUUACAAGAUCCAGUUUAUGAAGAUCUAUUAAGUGAAAAUAGAAAAAUGAUCACUAAUGAGAAGAUAGAUGCCUACAAUGAAGCUGCAGUCAGUAUUUUGAAUAGUAGCACCAGAAAUUCUAAGUCAAAUGUUAAGAUGUUCAGUGUUUCCAAAUUAAUUGCUCAAGAAACCAUCAUGGAAUCUUUGGAUGGCUUACAUCUUCCUGAAUCAAGCAGAGAAACUAGUGCAAUGAUUCUUAUGAACGUGUACUGCAAUAAGAUUUUGAAGCCUGUAGAUGGUUCCUGUUGUCAACCCCAGCCUCCUCUUACUCUCAUACAGAAACUAGCUGCUUGUUUUUUCACCUUAUCUAUUAUUGGAUAUUUAAUUUUUUAUGUAAUUCAUCGUAAUGCUCAUCGAAAGAAUAAGCCAUGUACUGAUUUGGAAAGUGGUGAGGAAAAGAAAAAUAUUAUUAAUAACCCUGCAUCUCCAUUAGAAAUACUUUUACAAUCUUUCUGCAAACUUGGCCUGAUUAUGGCUUACUUCUACAUGUGUGACCAUGCAAAUCUUUUUAUGAAGGAAAACAAGUUUUAUACCCAUUCGUCUUUCUUUAUUCCAAUUAUCUACAUCUUGGUUUUGGGAGUAUUUUACAAUGAAAAUACUAAAGAGACUAAAGUAUUAAAUAGAGAACAAACAGAUGAGUGGAAGGGCUGGAUGCAACUUGUGAUUUUGAUUUAUCACAUCUCUGGAGCAAGUACUUUUUUGCCUGUGUACAUGCACAUUCGAGUUCUGGUUGCUGCAUAUCUGUUUCAGACAGGGUAUGGACAUUUUUCAUAUUUUUGGAUAAAAGGAGACUUUGGAAUCCAUAGAGUAUGUCAGGUCUUAUUUCGUCUCAAUUUCCUGGUAGUGGUGUUAUGUAUAGUAAUGGAUCGGCCUUAUCAAUUCUAUUACUUUGUUCCCUUGAUCACUGUGUGGUUCAUGGUCAUAUAUGUUACUUUAGCACUGUGGCCACAGAUUAUCCAAAAGAGAGCAAACGGAAAUUGUUUCUGGCAUUUUGGCUUAUUGUUGAAACUAGGCUUUUUGCUGUUAUGCAUAUGUUUUUUGGCAUAUUCUCAGGGUGCAUUUGAGAAGAUCUUUUCUCUUUGGCCAUUGUCCAAGUGUUUUGAACUGAAAGGGAAUGUAUAUGAAUGGUGGUUCAGAUGGCGGUUAGACCGUUAUGUAGUCUUCCAUGGAAUGCUGUUUGCUUUUAUUUAUUUGGCUUUACAGAAGCGUCAAGUACUUUCUGAAGGAAAGGGUGAACCUCUUUUUUCAAACAAAAUUUCAAACUUUCUAUUGUUUAUUUCAGUAGUUUCUUUCUUGACCUAUUCCAUCUGGGCUAGCAGUUGUAAAAACAAAGCAGAGUGCAAUGAACUCCACCCAUCUGUUUCUGUGGUGCAGAUUUUAGCCUUCAUCCUAAUAAGGAAUAUUCCUGGAUAUGCCCGUUCAGUUUACAGUUCAUUUUUUGCUUGGUUUGGAAAAAUUUCAUUAGAGCUAUUUAUUUGUCAGUAUCACAUAUGGCUGGCAGCCGACACAAGGGGUAUUUUGGUACUCAUACCUGGAAACCCUAUGCUCAACAUCAUUGUCAGCACUUUCAUCUUCGUUUGUGUGGCACAUGAAAUUUCUCAGAUCACUAAUGAUCUUGCACAGAUUAUUAUUCCUAAAGAUAACUCAUCUCUCUUGAAAAGGUUGGCAUGUAUAGCUGCGUUUUUUUGUGGACUACCCAUCUUAUCGUCCAUUCAAGAUAAAUCAAGACAUUAGGUUCCUAAAAUCUCAAAAAACUUAAAACUCUUCAGGCUUACUUUGUAUCUGUCUGGAGAAGAAAAGGAUCUAUCUGGAAAUACAAAUGUCUAUGUAAAUACAAACAUGUGGCAAAAGAACAGUUUAGGGAUGUCUGUUGAACAGUGUGGUUGUAUAUAUCGGCAGUGUAUAUACCUGAUGUGAAAUACUAAGAAAAAAUUGAUGAACCAGAAUGCAACAUAGGAGUGCAUGUGAAAAGUCUUUUCUACUGGAGCUAUUUUCCAUUUAUAAUGAUUUUAAGUUAACAUAUGAAGGCAGGGAAAUGAUUACCUUUCCAGUACAAAGUGUAGAUGAUAUAAUUAGCCUAGUGACACCACUGUUUUGAUAUUUACUAAAUUUGUGGUAAUAAGUUUGUCUGUGCCUGUCUUCAUUGUGGAACUUCUACUUCAUUGAAAACUUUUCUACUCAAGAAUGACUUGCAGUAUUGUGUUCUUAUGUGCAAUGACACGGAAUGAUGAACAGUAUUUUAAUUUAUAUAUAUUCAUGUUCUGCUUGUUCAUGUUUGCUGACAUGAUUUUUGUCCUUACUGUGGUUGUCAGGUAUACAAGUCUAAAUCUUUGUACCCUUUGUCUCUCAGAAUUGUUAUAAGGCUCCAUGACAGGGUUUUAUCUUUGUUGAUGUUGUCAUUGCUUCUUUUUAUAAAAAGGCCAAAUUUUCCUUUUCAGUGCAAACAUACACCCAUUUCUUUUCCUUAAGCUCUAGCAGUGUAAUACCAGUUACCCUGUGGUUUAAUGUUUUCCCCUCCCUAAUUAAUUUUUUGUAUAUUAUUUCCAAUGUUUGGAAAGUUCUUUAUAACCAUUUUGGUAUUUCCUAUUAUCCCUCCCAUUAAAAAAAAUAUUUAUCAGUCUAAACAUGUGCAGUAAAGAUUCAAGUUGUUAUGAUGGAGAUGUUUGACUGUAGUAGAAUUUUAAGUAAACUGGUGACUUGGGCAAUAAAUAAUUUUUGUUUGGUUUUUUUAUAAGCUAACUGUUAGAGGUAAAUGUUUAUUUAUCUGUUGUACAGAUUUGAUUAUGAUUUUUAAUGUUUGAAAGAUUGCACUUAUUUGCUUUUACUAUGUGUGAGGUAAAAUAUAUUUUCUGUUCACAGUAUGUAAAAAUGUGGAGUAAUUUAAACAGUAAAUAAACAUUCUGUGGAUGCUUAUUUUUGUAUUGGCAAAGGAUCAAUUAAACUACUUAUGUUCAUUUUUUUAAAAAGCUCGAUCCGUUAAUAAUUGGUUCAGGUUUCUAAUUCAUUUCUUUAAUUUCAGUGUGCUUUUUCAAACUCAUUAAACAGGAAUAGAUCUCUAAGUUACAGUGAGUAAGGAAUAAUUUAGUUGUUAGUGCUUGUAAGGAUAAUCUCUUCUUCUACUAGAAAGUUUAAGCUUCAUGGUAUAUAUGUAGUUUUACUUGAAGAUUUUUAAAAUUUAAUUAUUAUUUCUGUAGCACUGGGUUUAUGUGCUACUGAUAUGUUUCCACUAAUUGAGGAAUAUUUCUUGGACAGAAAUGUGUGUUUUUUCCUUUUCUCUCUUCUUCUGCCCUUACUUAAUCUUUUGACAUUUCCCGGAUAGACAAUUGUAAUGAUUCAUUGCUCUGCCUCCUAGACUGCAGCCUUAUAAGUAGAGAAUAGUACAGUUAUAAAUCAAAAACUUCCAAGUACUGUGAUCACAUUAUUCUUGCUCAUGUAGCUUGCCAAUGAGUAGAGUGCAUUUUAAUUUAGCUUGUAAGUUUUAUCACCUGAAAAAGAUUCUUCCUGAUGAAACAAUUGAAAAAGAAAGAUGACCAGUAACUUACAUCUUUCAGUAGUGAUUGCCAUGUGAUUAUAUAUAAGCUUGUCUCUCUUAUUUGAACUCAGGCCUAAAACUUAACUGGUAAGCCCUAUUUCUUCAUCACAUGUUCUUAUUUAAUAUACAAAAUUUUUUUUUAGGUAUAACUAUAUUUAAUAAUUAAAAUAUAGUAUAUUUAUACUUAAAAUUAUUUAAUAUGUCUUUAUAAGUAAGAGGUUAUUGUGGAAGUGGGCACAAUGAUAAGCAUCUGUGUAUGGUAAACAUCUUAAAUUUUUUUCUGCAUUGAUUUAUGUACUGACCAGUUUCUUUACUCAGUCAUGAGAUUCUUCAAAUAAGAUGUUUAAAAAAUAUUUGGAUAUGCUAAAAUUGAGGUAAAAACCACAAAAGUUUCUUCACUUAGGCUUUCUGUAAUAAAAAUUACAUUCAGAAAUCAGCAAAAAAAAAAAAAGAAACAAAAAGAUAAAAUUCUCUUUCUGAAACCGAAUGUGAUUCAAAACAGCCACUAGAGGACAGUGGUGACACUGAGGAUGUUUCAAG
This 5131-nucleotide long non-coding RNA is filed under the name Marmota monax (woodchuck). Lineage: Eukaryota; Metazoa; Chordata; Mammalia; Rodentia; Sciuridae. The record is from RNAcentral.